This 76-nucleotide microRNA precursor is filed under the name Myotis lucifugus (little brown bat). Its description in RNAcentral is "mir-9229 microRNA precursor family". It matches the Rfam family "mir-9229 microRNA precursor family". Lineage: Eukaryota; Metazoa; Chordata; Mammalia; Chiroptera; Vespertilionidae. The record is from Rfam by way of RNAcentral.
GAAACACCCUUAUGGGGCAGGACUGGCUUCAGUGGGGCUUUGGUGCCCACUGAUUCUGCCCCCUGAGUGUGUCUCU